RNAcentral lists this ribosomal RNA (779 nucleotides) under uncultured Neocallimastigales. RNAcentral's name for it is "partial large subunit ribosomal RNA". It matches the Rfam family "Eukaryotic large subunit ribosomal RNA", at positions 22 to 639 of the family's 3401-position model. The record is from RNAcentral. Lineage: Eukaryota; Fungi; Neocallimastigomycota; Neocallimastigomycetes; Neocallimastigales.
GUACACGCUGUGACUAGCAUAUCAAUAAGCGGAGGAAAAGAAACUAACAAGGAUACCCCUAGUAACAGGCGAGUGAAGCGGGAAGAGCUCAAAUUUGAAAUCUUAAAGGGUUUCCCUUUACGAAUUGUAGUUUAAAGAAGUGUUUUCUGUUGAGGUUUUGGUAAAAGUUCUUUGGAAUAGGACAUCAUAGAGGGUGAGAAUCCCGUAUUUGACCUUUACUUUCAACUUUGUGAUACACUUUCAAAGAGUCGGAAUUGUUUGGGAAUGCAGUCCAAAAUGGGUGGUAAAUUUCAUCUAAAGCUAAAUAUUGGCGAGAGACCGAUAGCGAACAAGUACCGUGAGGGAAAGAUGAAAAGAACUUUGAAAAGAGAGUUAAACAGUACGUGAAAUUGUCAAAAGGGAAGCGUCUGACACCAGUCGUUGUUUUUCUGAAAAUCAAUUAAAGAACUGUUUAUGCUAAGCUUGUUUAGACUUUAUCAGCUAUACUGUUUAGUUUUGAGCUUUUCUUUAAUGCACUUUUCAGUUAACAAGUCAACAUCAAUUUCUUUUGCUGUAAAAAAGCUUGAGGAAGGUGGCUUGAGAUUCGUCUUAAGUGUUUAUAGCCUCUUGCCUAUGCAGUCGGAGAGAUUGAGGUCUGCAGCGUAGAUCCUUCGGGGCUAAAUGCAUUUGUGCUAAGUUAUAGCAUUUUAUAGACAACUUGUUGACUAUGAUUUGUCUUGUAGCUUACUCGCUUAUGUUAUUUUACCUACGCUUAGGAUGUUGACGCGCGUGUGUGCGUG